UGGCGGCGUGCUAUACAUGCAAGUCGAGCGGACAGAAGGGAGCUUGCUCCCGGAUGUUAGCGGCGGACGGGUGAGUAACACGUGGGUAACCUGCCUGUAAGACUGGGAUAACUCCGGGAAACCGGAGCUAAUACCGGAUAGUUCCUUGAACCGCAUGGUUCAAGGAUGAAAGACGGUUUCGGCUGUCACUUACAGAUGGACCCGCGGCGCAUUAGCUAGUUGGUGAGGUAACGGCUCACCAAGGCGACGAUGCGUAGCCGACCUGAGAGGGUGAUCGGCCACACUGGGACUGAGACACGGCCCAGACUCCUACGGGAGGCAGCAGUAGGGAAUCUUCCGCAAUGGACGAAAGUCUGACGGAGCAACGCCGCGUGAGUGAUGAAGGUUUUCGGAUCGUAAAGCUCUGUUGUUAGGGAAGAACAAGUGCAAGAGUAACUGCUUGCACCUUGACGGUACCUAACCAGAAAGCCACGGCUAACUACGUGCCAGCAGCCGCGGUAAUACGUAGGUGGCAAGCGUUGUCCGGAAUUAUUGGGCGUAAAGGGCUCGCAGGCGGUUUCUUAAGUCUGAUGUGAAAGCCCCCGGCUCAACCGGGGAGGGUCAUUGGAAACUGGGAAACUUGAGUGCAGAAGAGGAGAGU
RNAcentral lists this ribosomal RNA (640 nucleotides) under Bacillus sp. (in: firmicutes). RNAcentral describes it as "bacterial SSU rRNA". It matches the Rfam family "Bacterial small subunit ribosomal RNA", at positions 37 to 662 of the family's 1533-position model. Lineage: Bacteria; Bacillati; Bacillota; Bacilli; Caryophanales; Bacillaceae. The record is from RNAcentral.